AAUAGAUACCCUGGUAGUCCACGCCGUAAACGUUGGGCGCUAGAUGUGGGGACCUUUCCACGGUUUCCGUGUCGUAGCUAACGCAUUAAGCGCCCCGCCUGGGGAGUACGGCCGCAAGGCUAAAACUCAAAGGAAUUGACGGGGGCCCGCACAAGCGGCGGAGCAUGCGGAUUAAUUCGAUGCAACGCGAAGAACCUUACCAAGGCUUGACAUAUACGAGAACGCGCCAGAAAUGGUGAACUCUUUGGACACUCGUAUACAGGUGGUGCAUGGUUGUCGUCAGCUCGUGUCGUGAGAUGUUGGGUUAAGUCCCGCAACGAGCGCAACCCUCGUCGCAUGUUGCCAGCACGUUAUGGUGGGAACUCAUGUGAGACUGCCGGGGUCAACUCGGAGGAAGGUGGGGAUGACGUCAAAUCAUCAUGCCCCUUAUGUCUUGGGCUUCACGCAUGCUACAAUGGCCGGUACAAAGGGCUGCGAUGUCGUAAGGCGGAGCGAAUCCCAAAAAGCCGGUCUCAGUUCGGA
RNAcentral lists this ribosomal RNA (522 nucleotides) under uncultured bacterium. RNAcentral describes it as "bacterial SSU rRNA". It matches the Rfam family "Bacterial small subunit ribosomal RNA", at positions 777 to 1297 of the family's 1533-position model. The record is from RNAcentral.